CAGUCGCCGCGGUAAUUCGAAGGGUGCAAGCGUUAAUCGGAAUUACUGGGCGUAAAGCGUGCGUAGGCGGUUUGUUAAGUCUGCUGUGAAAUCCCCGGGCUCAACCUGGGAAUGGCAGUGGAUACUGGCAAGCUAGAGUGUGUCAGAGGAUGGUGGAAUUCCCGGUGUAGCGGUGAAAUGCGUAGAGAUCGGGAGGAACAUCAGUGGCGAAGGCGGCCAUCUGGGACAACACUGACGCUGAGGCACGAAAGCGUGGGGAGCAAACAGGAUUAGAUACCCCGGUAGUCCCUGUCUCUUAUAC
Molecule: ribosomal RNA, 301 nt
Filed under: uncultured bacterium
Lineage: Bacteria
Description: partial 16S ribosomal RNA
Rfam family: Bacterial small subunit ribosomal RNA
Source: RNAcentral